CGUAUUAGGCAACAACCUUUCCUCCUCGCUGAAAGUGCUUUACAACCCGAAGGCCUUCUUCACACACGCGGCAUGGCUGCAUCAGGGUUUCCCCCAUUGUGCAAUAUUCCCCACUGCUGCCUCCCGUAGGAGUCUGGACCGUGUCUCAGUUCCAGUGUGGCUGAUCAUCCUCUCAGACCAGCUAGGGAUCGUCGCCUUGGUGAGCCAUUACCUCACCAACUAGCUAAUCCCACCUGGGCAUAUCCAAUCGCGCAAGGCCCGAAGGUCCCCUGCUUUCCCCCGUAGGGCGUAUGCGGUAUUAGCAGUCGUUUCCAACUGUUAUCCCCCUCGACUGGGCAAUUUCCCAGGCAUUACUCACCCGUCCGCCGCUCGCCGGCAAAAGUAGCAAGCUACUUUCCCGCUGCCGCUCGACUUGCAUGUGUUAGGCCUGCCGCCAGCG
RNAcentral lists this ribosomal RNA (439 nucleotides) under Aeromonas hydrophila. Its description in RNAcentral is "partial 16S rRNA". The record is from RNAcentral. Lineage: Bacteria; Pseudomonadati; Pseudomonadota; Gammaproteobacteria; Aeromonadales; Aeromonadaceae.